GACGAACGCUGGCGGCGUGCUUAACACAUGCAAGUCGAACGGAAAGGCCCUGCUUUUGUGGGGUGCUCGAGUGGCGAACGGGUGAGUAACACGUGACUAACCUGCCCUUGACUUUGGGAUAACUUCAGGAAACUGGGGCUAAUACCGGAUAGGAGCUCCUGCUGCAUGGUGGGGGUUGGAAAGUUUCGGCGGUUGGGGAUGGACUCGCAGCUUAUCAGCUUGUUGGUGGGGUAGUGGCUUACCAAGGCUUUGACGGGUAGCCGGCCUGAGAGGGUGACCGGCCACAUUGGGACUGAGAUACGGCCCAGACUCCUACGGGAGGCAGCAGUGGGGAAUAUUGCACAAUGGGCGGAAGCCUGAUGCAGCAACGCCGCGUGCGGGAUGACGGCCUUCGGGUUGUAAACCGCUUUCGCCUGUGACGAAGCGUGAGUGACGGUAAUGGGUAAAGAAGCACCGGCUAACUACGUG
This 468-nucleotide ribosomal RNA is filed under the name uncultured bacterium. RNAcentral describes it as "partial 16S ribosomal RNA". It matches the Rfam family "Bacterial small subunit ribosomal RNA", at positions 28 to 507 of the family's 1533-position model. The record is from RNAcentral.